RNAcentral lists this long non-coding RNA (840 nucleotides) under Homo sapiens (human). RNAcentral describes it as "non-protein coding lnc-SP9-5:1". Lineage: Eukaryota; Metazoa; Chordata; Mammalia; Primates; Hominidae. The record is from RNAcentral.
AGAACAAAAAGGUCUUAUUUUAAGUAGUUUUCCUGCUUUUAAUCACUGAAUUCAUGUAGAGUUUCUGUAUGCCAACUAUUAUUGAGGUUUAGCAAGCCAAUUAUAUUGCAGAGGCAUACCACUGGCUACUUUAGAAAACAUCCUUAUACUAUACCUUUUACCUGUUAUUAAAAUUAAAACUAAAUAUACCUUUUACCUAUUAUUAAAUAACAGUGACAUUCUUAAAGCUUUUUACAAAGUACAAGAUAAUAAACUUACUUUAAAUGAGUAAUUUUAUUCCAUUAGUCCCGAAACAUGUUCAGUGAAAUAAUUAUCUAAAAAUACUUGUCAACCCAAAUAAUGUCAAUAUACUAGUACUGUUAACUUACUCAAAUAAAUUAUAACCAGGAUUAUUUAACAAAACAUUAAAGGAAAAAAACUCAAUUACUUAGAAUGCAUUGGUAUGGUUCUCUAAGCAUCUAGAUUAAGAGCAUUAAAUUUCAUUUGAAAAUCAAAUUGUAUAAUUGAAGGAUUUUCACACACAUGGGAUUUUCCACACUUUAUCUCUUAAUGUAAUAUUUAUUCAAAGUACAUUUUAAAAUUGAGAAAUACCUUUAAUAUUACAACACCUUCUUAUUUGCUACCAAAAUAAGGGAGAGAUUUUUAUGAAACUGUCAUUUUAAAUAAUAGUCAAUAGCUGCACACAUUAAGUAAACAAAUUCAGUUCAAGGGAAGAACUUCAUCACCAUUUGGUGGUUGUAAUUUAGAUUAUUCUAGCGUGUAAUACUUUAAUUGUAUAAAACAAAGCUGAUGUCACAAAUACAAAAGAAUUUCUUGCAAAGCAAGUACCACAAGUAAUUU